AUGCUUUCUUUUUUUGAGAAGGUUGGAUCAAGCUCCUGCCCUGGCUCCCAACCUGAACCUACUGCUACCGGUGUUGAUGAUUCCAACACAGCCAAACAAGGACAAAGUAGUGGACAGAGUAACACUCUAGAUCAGAAUAUUUCAGCAUCUGUAGAAGGUCCACAGCAAGAGACAGUUGUAACAACAGAAACAGAUUAUAUUAGAGAUCCCAGCAAACGUCUUCAAAUUUGGCAACUCCCUCCUGCCAAGCAAGACGAAGCUCGGUGUUUUUAUAUAUCUGAGGGCGCAUAUCAACCGAUCCUACAACCAGAGGAAUACUCAUUUGCUAGAACGGGUACUCAUCGCCGUCGAUUCCAAAAAGAUUGGUUUACCAACCAUUUUUGGUUGGAGUAUUCAACUGACACACAUAGGGCAUACUGCUUGCCUUGUUUCCUCUUUGCCAAAAAGCCAAUUGGAAGGUGUGGCUCAGAUACAUUCACAGUCAAGGGAUUUCAAAACUGGAAAAAGGUAAAUAAUGGGAAAGAAUGUGCUUUUCUAACUCACAUGGGUCGUGAUCCUAACUCAGCUCAUAACUUUGCUGUUAGAUGUUUUGAAAAUCUUAAGAAUAGCAUGUCUCAUAUAGACAAGGUAAUGGUGAAGCAAUGUGAGAAAAAGAGUGGCGAUGCGAGACUAAGACUCAAGACUACAAUUGAUGCAAUCAGGUAA
This 705-nucleotide ribosomal RNA is filed under the name Triticum aestivum (bread wheat). RNAcentral describes it as "partial small subunit ribosomal RNA". Lineage: Eukaryota; Viridiplantae; Streptophyta; Magnoliopsida; Poales; Poaceae. The record is from RNAcentral.